GGGGCCGGGAAAGCCAGUGACGCAGGCGACUCAUAAUCGCUUGGUCGCUGGUUCGAUCCCAGCCGGGCCCACCA
Molecule: transfer RNA, 74 nt
Filed under: Lentisphaerae bacterium RIFOXYA12_64_32
Lineage: Bacteria; Pseudomonadati; Lentisphaerota
Also listed under: 1 other name
Description: tRNA-Met
Source: RNAcentral